Orbicella faveolata is the source of this 1435-nucleotide long non-coding RNA. The record is from RefSeq and is a predicted model, not a curated record. NCBI's taxonomy places the organism in Eukaryota, Metazoa, Cnidaria, Anthozoa, Scleractinia, Merulinidae.
UAUUGUUCUUGCCACGAGAACAUAAAAUUCAUAUCUUCUCGCCACCGUGUAAUAUCCUCUAUAUACGGGAUGACACGUAACUGACCUUCCGGAGCGUAUUUUGCCCUAUACAUGUAGGUAGACUGGGUAAUAGCAUUCGCUGGGCCCAUUGCCAACGUUCUGCGUUUAAUUUGUUGGGCGUAUCGUUUCAUAUCGUGUUGUCUGCGCCCUUAUUUUGUUUUAAGUAAUUCUUGUACAGUUUCCUUUUAUCUUUCUAGUAGUUGCCUACUCGUAAGACUAGAAUACGUCAACCCAAUGCAAUGCUGGAGAUAAUUUUUCCUCUUUAACAGGUCAUGUGUCCGUUCAACUCUUCAUUUUGGCCGGACACGCUAAAUGCCGGACUUGGUUGGUCCUUGGUCUUGUGCUCAAGAUCCCUAGCUCAACUUUUCCCACUACCGACCGCGGUAUGAUUCAUCGCUAAGAUGAACGUGAUUCCGCGUUAGUUCCCGCGUGAAACAGUGCGUGACGCGUUCGUUUCGACCCAAAGAAACUGAGAACGAAAAAGAAUCCAACAUGGCGGGAUACAUGGCAUUUCAUAUAAUACGAGCAUAUUUUGACGCUGAAGCUGUGACGAAGAGGCCUUUUGUGAUAUCAGUUGACUUUAGAAAGGUAUUUCCCUUCGUCUGGUUGGAUAUGGGCGCAAAGGAAAUAGCUGCAGCGGCUGCAAAACACUGAAACAGAAACCACGUUUACAAACGCUCACCGCCGACAACAGCCUGGCAAUUCCUUACGGUUAAUGCAAGACUCUUAGCCGAGGUCCUGAUAGAGAGACAAGAUUGGAAUAUAAACUCACCCAAAAUUAAUGGAGGAUGUGUCUAAAUGAGGCUCAGAUUUAGCCAGUCAAGAAUGUGAAUGAGAUACAGGAGAGUUAAAAGUCGUGGAACUGACCAAGACAUUAAAAAGCCAAACCAAAUAGAAGGCUGGAAGGUCUAAGACCAGACUCAAGUCAGAUGGAAUGUAAAUGAGAGACAGAAAAGUUAAGAGUCAUGGUGAGUGAUAUGAAUUACUGUUAUGUUUUCUUUGAAUGUUUGAGUGGUACCUAAUAGGUUACUUAAUUAAUUAGUGACUUGUGGGAAUUGUUGUAAUACCUGGAUACUUCAUAGCAACAUUUUGUGCUAGCUACUUGUAGAUGACAAGCUAUCCAUCACUUAAUCAAAAAAGGAAAAUUGCUGUUCAUGAAGCGAUGUAGCCCCUGAUGUUUGACCUGGUGUUUGAGUUUGAAAAUAUGAAUUAAUGUACAGUAUGUAUUUAAAUAUGUAAGAGGGGUUGCGAAUGGUAACUUGAAAAUCUUGGGUGACACAGUCAAACUUUUGAUUUGAUCUCAAAAUCUUGGAAUCCUCAUUUCAGUGUGAAUUGUCUCGUCUCAGAGCCAGCUUUUAGCCAGAUUAGUCCAAAC